RNAcentral lists this unclassified non-coding RNA (240 nucleotides) under soil metagenome. Its description in RNAcentral is "partial contains 5.8S ribosomal RNA, internal transcribed spacer 2, and large subunit ribosomal RNA". The record is from RNAcentral.
AACGCACGAGACCUGCGGACCUGCGGAGGGAUCAUUACAGGACUCGCAAGACUCCUACAACCCUGUGAACUUAACUAUAAGCACGUUGCUUCGGCGGGUGUCUCGGCGAGGGUUCUCCCUCCCCGGGGCGCUAAGCCCGCCGGCAGCCUACUAUACUCUGUCUCUUUGCGUUGGCAUCUCGAGUACAAACAAACAAGUUAAAACUUUUAGCAAUGGAUCUCUAGAUCGGAAGAGCACACG